Ictidomys tridecemlineatus (thirteen-lined ground squirrel) is the source of this 1566-nucleotide non-coding RNA. NCBI's taxonomy places the organism in Eukaryota, Metazoa, Chordata, Mammalia, Rodentia, Sciuridae. The record is from RefSeq and is a predicted model, not a curated record.
UGAGGGACCACGCAUGCCCAGGCUGACCUGCCAGUCUCCAGUCUUAGUGUACCCGAGUGGACCAGGGGCACUUACCACUGAGCCACGCCCCCAGCCCUCGUGAUUUAGAGACAGGGUCUCCCUGGGUGCCUCAGGGUCUCACUAAGUUGCUGAGGCUGGCUUUGAACUCACAAUCCUCCUGCCUCAGCCUCCCAAGCAGGAUGACAGGGUGAGCCUCUGCGCUGGCCCUGUGUCCAGUCCCGCUGGCUGCCCGCCCCAGGAGAGCUGCUUCCGCUCAGAUGCUCGCUGCUUCUCUUGCCCCGCGGUCCCUGUCUCACACAGGUCAACUUCUUUGCCCAGGUGACUGGGGCCCACAGGACCAGCAGCCAGAAAGACACGCCCAAGUCCUAGCCAAGGGUGGACGGGAGACCUGGUUACAGGAAGUGACCGUGGAGGUGGAGCAGUGUGGUGUGGCCGGCAGUGCUGGGCAGUCGUGAGCUCUUCUCAUUUAUUUCUCCAACCCCUCGCACGCAGGUGGAGCUAACAGAAUGUGGGCAGCAGGGGUGUCGCCUCUCUGCAGGGACAGGCCACUGGCAUCUCCUGUGCACGAUCCUUCUCUGUUGGGAGCCUGGCAUGAGGCCCGCCAUGCCCUGAGGGGAGCCUGGGUCCCUGAAUGGCCGUGGGGAGUGGAAGCCCUGCCCCCCACCCAUGGGCUUCCUGGCUCAGCCACUGAAGUUGGGGUGCGUCAUCCGUGGCCACAACGGAGUGGAUGCUCUGUGAGCCCCGGCGCUGCCCGUGCGCGGUCGCAUGCAGCCUCUGAGGGCCCCUGGUGGGCUCCGGCUGGGGUCUCCGCACCCUGUACUCUAAGUGUCUCGGCAUCAGAUCCCCGGAUGGGGAGAUCCUACCCUUCCUCAUAUUAGGGGAUGGAGAAGAACAUCUGCAGAAAACUGGCCCAGCCGCAGGCCCCAGCCUGGUGUCCACCCCACCUUAGCUGAAGCCCUUGCUGGGGUGGCCCGUGGGUCCCUGAACGUGACACACCUAGUCACUCCGUGAUUCAUUCAUUCAGCAAGUUUUUCCUGGACGGUUCCUUCUGUCUUCCACUGGUCACUGAGUCCCUGCCCUGUGUUGGCCUCAAGUUAGCCCCAACCCUCGGAGGCCUGGUUCAUGGAGGGGGACGCUGUGAGGCCUGGGCUGAGUCAGGGCGGGUCCGCUCCUGCAGGAUCCUUAGCUGCGGGACCGAGAGGGAGCUGUGCAGAGUGCGCAGCGUGUAUGUGCGCGCAGGCCUACAAAAAAUAAACAAAUAAACAUCCACGUGCCCAAGAAAUAAGACAUUACCGAUGUGCCCUGCUGGGGCUUGACUCUAGAAUGUUCCCCAGAGAGCCAGGUGGUGAAAGACGCCGUCCCCAGUCUCUGGUGCUGUCGGGAGGUGGCAGAACCUUGGCGAGAUGCCGUGAGGUAGACAGGCCUCCUCCGCCAUGUCUGCCCGCCAUGAGGCACUGUGCUGCCACAGGCCCAAAGCAAGAGGCCAAGGGACCGUGACCUGAAACCACUGAAACUGUGAACCAAAUAAACCUUUCCUCUUUUUAA